CUCCCUCCUCCCCAGCUGUGUGUGGGGAAGGCUGCCCAAUCCCUGCUGGAAGCCUCCUUGUCUCUCAUCUGUGAGCAUGUGAUACCUGCUCAGGUUGCACAGAAACCCUGAUGUCCACGGGUCACUAAUCUGCUGCACAGACCAGGAGACACCAGGGCUGAAGGCUGUGGCCUUAGAACCCUGCAUGGAGCCACAUUCCAGCGCAUGUGGGGGCUCUCUCCAGAGACAUGGUCACUCGAGAGCUUGCUCUCCUAAGUACACCUGAAGUCUCCAGGUCACUGCCCAGGACACGCAUGCGGCACGCCCGCCUGGACAGAAGCUGAGAUGGGUGGUUCUGAGAGGGGCCCCACCUGGGUUCCAGCUUCCCAUCCUGGCCCCAGUGACUGCUGACCUCCUCCUACGUGUUCCUUGGGCAGUGAAGGCGUGAUCCCACCAGCUGUUUACAAUCCAUCAUCCAGCAGUUUCCACAUGGUGGUUAUGCAGCUUGGGGACUAGGGAGGAGAGUCCUGGUAUCCAAAUACUGGACUUGCAGCUUAAUUAAUCAGGGAGGACCUCAGCAUGCAAUCCUCACCGCGACAGCAAAUUUGCAUACUUCUUGUUUGCUUUGCACUCAAGGUCAAGUCUCUCCUGCAAUAAAAAUGUCCUCAGUGGGUGGCUCAAGAGAAGCAGCCAAGCAUUGUUAUCUCCACCUUAAACUGGAGGAGCCAAUCAGA
Molecule: long non-coding RNA, 713 nt
Organism: Cervus elaphus (red deer)
Lineage: Eukaryota; Metazoa; Chordata; Mammalia; Artiodactyla; Cervidae
Exons: 4
Source: RefSeq, a predicted model, not a curated record